Molecule: long non-coding RNA, 886 nt
Organism: Cyprinus carpio carpio
Lineage: Eukaryota; Metazoa; Chordata; Actinopteri; Cypriniformes; Cyprinidae
Source: Ensembl
GUGGUGCUUGCAGUGGCAAAACUCGGCGCUCGGUUGCUAAGGUGUUUCUAGGCGUUUGUUAGAGCGGUUGCUAGGGUACCCAAGGUGGUUGCUAGGGUGUUGUUAUGUGGUUGCUAGGUUAUUUCGGGUGGUUGCUAGGGUCCCCAGGAUGGUUGCUAGGGCCGUUGCUAGGGUACCAAGGAUGGUUGCUAGGGUAAUUGUGGUGGUUGCUAGGGUGUUGCUAUGUGGUUGCUAGGUCAAUUGGGGUGGUUGCUAAGGUGUUGCUAGGCGAUUGCUAGGGUGUUCUGAGUGGUUGUUAGGUGGUUGCUAUGGUAACCGGGGUGGUUGCUAGGAAGUUGCUAAGGUACUUGGGGUGGUUGCUAGGCGGUUGCUAGGGUGUUCUGGGUGGUUGCUAGGCGGUUGCUAGGCAGUUGCUAAGGUACUUGGGGUGGUUGCUAAGGUGUUGCUAGGCGGUUGCUAGGGUCUUUUGGGUGGUUGCUAGGCAGUUGCUAUGGUAACCUGGGUGGUUGCUAGGCAGUUGCUAAGGUACUUGGGGUGGUUGCUAAGGUGUUGCUAAGCGGUUGCUAGGGUGUUCUGGGUGGUUGCUAGGCGGUUGCUAGGCAGUUGCUAAGGUAUUUGGGGUGGUUGCUAAGGUGUUGCUAGGCGGUUGCUAGGGUCUUUUGGGUGGUUGCUAGGCAGUUGCUAUGGUAACCUGGGUGGUUGCUAGGCAGUUGCUAUCAUAACCGGGGUAGUUGCUAUGAUGAUACUAGGUGGUUGGUAGUUGUCACAGAUGGUCACUAUGUAGUUUUUAUAGAGUUCAUAGCAUGUUGUUGGCCCAUUUGAGCACUUAGCUAAUCACUGUUAGCAUGUAGCUAUUCACUGCUAGCAUGACUAGCAUGUUAGAAUU